AUACGUAGGGGGCGAGCGUUGUCCGGAAUUAUUGGGCGUAAAGCGCGCGCAGGCGGUCUUUUAAGUCUGAUGUGAAAGCCCACGGCUCAACCGUGGAUGGUCAUUGGAAACUGGGGGACUUGAGUGUAGGAGAGGGAAGUGGAAUUCCACGUGUAGCGGUGAAAUGCGUAGAGAUGUGGAGGAACACCAGUGGCGAAGGCGGCUUCCUGGCCUAUAACUGACGCUGAGGCGCGAAAGCGUGGGUAGCGAACAGGAUUAGAUACCCUGGUAGUCCACGCCGUAAACGAUGAGUGCUAGGUGUUAGGGGGAUCGAGCCCCUUAGUGCCGACGUCAACACAUUAAGCACUCCGCCUGGGGAGUACGGCCGCAAGGUUGAA
RNAcentral lists this ribosomal RNA (377 nucleotides) under uncultured bacterium. RNAcentral describes it as "bacterial SSU rRNA". It matches the Rfam family "Bacterial small subunit ribosomal RNA", at positions 523 to 898 of the family's 1533-position model. The record is from RNAcentral.